AUCAUAGGUUCAUUGAAUUUCAAGUCAGUCACGACAAUACGAUUUUUCUCUGUCUCCUGUUGUUAUCCUUAGCAUUAGCAGCAACUCUGUUUAGAACUUCAUCAGAGACAACUGAGCAGAUAAAUCUCUUUCAAUAGAUGUGAUCAACGGACCUUUGUUCUCUCAUUGUUGUACGAAGCCACUUUUUCAUUUUGUUUUAAGAAAAAAAAGGAUCAUUCACAUGAUGCAGAGCUUACAGCUGUGGUGUGAUAGCUCCAAAAAGAUACUCCUCAAACUUCUACCAGUAGUGUUGCUAUGGCAUGCUUGGCCAAAAAACACUUUUCAAAAAUCAUAUCCUUAUUGAGAUUGUAGUUAUAAAUAAUUGGGAGAAGGUUUUCAGGAUCUAAAAAGCUGGACAACUGAGGGUUUCAGUGCUGAUUAGAGCAUAGUAUAUCAAGAUUGGGACCUGAGAACUGUUUGUUCAGCUCAUAAAGUAUGCAGUCAAUUACUGGAAUUUUUCAUUAUGUUAUCUUGAAGUCGAUGUGGAAUCACUCUUGUACGUCCAUGACCAUCAGUAAAGUUGAUGUCUAAUAGUGGUUCUGACUUCUGAGCUGGACUGAAAAGUAAAGGCCAAAAAGACAAAUUUAAUCCUGGCAAUAUCAAAAAACAGCAAUUCAUAUUGACUAUAGUCUAAUGAUGUAAAAUUUUGUUGCUGUCAUUUUUAUUCAUAAAAAAUGAUAAUUCAAAUUGCAGCAAAUUUAGUGGUGCUAACACUGACACUAUA
Molecule: long non-coding RNA, 763 nt
Organism: Amphimedon queenslandica
Lineage: Eukaryota; Metazoa; Porifera; Demospongiae; Haplosclerida; Niphatidae
Exons: 3
Source: RefSeq, a predicted model, not a curated record